This 461-nucleotide ribosomal RNA is filed under the name NC10 bacterium enrichment culture clone CSTR 3-3. RNAcentral's name for it is "bacterial SSU rRNA". It matches the Rfam family "Bacterial small subunit ribosomal RNA", at positions 977 to 1434 of the family's 1533-position model. Lineage: Bacteria; Methylomirabilota (SeqCode). The record is from RNAcentral.
GGGCUUGACAUCCCACGAACCUGCCUGAAAGGGCGGGGUGCCCGCAAGGGAGCGCGGAGACAGGUGGUGCAUGACUGUCGUCAGCUCGUGUCGUGAGAUGUUGGGUUAAGUCCCGCAACGAGCGCAACCCUCACCCCAAGUUGCCACCGGGUUAAGCCGAGCACUCAAGGGGGAACUGCCAGCGUCAAGCUGGAGGAAGGCGGGGAUGACGUCAAGUCAUCAUGCCCCUUACGCCCUGGGCUACACACGUGCUACAAUGGCCAGUACAAAGGGACGCGAGACUGCGAAGUGGAGCUAAUCCCAAAAAGCUGGUCUAAGUUCAGAUUGCAGUCUGCAACUCGACUGCAUGAAGGAGGAAUCGCUAGUAAUCGCGCAUCAGCCCGGCGCGGUGAAUACGUUCCCGGGCCUUGUACACACCGCCCGUCACACCACGAAAGCUGUCUGUACUCGAAGUCGCUGAG